UCGGGAAUUUUGGGCAAUGGGCGAAAGCCUGACCCAGCAACGCCGCGUGAAGGAUGAAGUAUUUCGGUAUGUAAACUUCGAAAGAAUGGGAAGAAUAAAUGACGGUACCAUUUAUAAGCUCCGGCUAACUACGUGCCAGCAGCCGCGGUAAUACGUAGGGAGCAAGCGUUGUUCGGAUUUACUGGGCGUAAAGGGCGCGUAGGCGGCGCGGUAAGUCACUUGUGAAAUCUCCGGGCCUAACCCGGAAAGUGCGGAGGGACUGCUCGGCUAGAGGAUGGGAGAGGAGCGCGGAAUUCCCGGUGUAGCGGUGAAAUGCGUAGAGAUCGGGAGGAAGGCCGGUGGCGAAGGCGGCGCUCUGGAACAUAUCUGACGCUGAGGCUCGAAAGCGUGGGGAGCAAACAGGAUUAGAUACCCCAGUAGUCCCUGAGCGGGCUGGCAAGGCGCAU
RNAcentral lists this ribosomal RNA (446 nucleotides) under uncultured bacterium. RNAcentral's name for it is "bacterial SSU rRNA". It matches the Rfam family "Bacterial small subunit ribosomal RNA", at positions 355 to 825 of the family's 1533-position model. The record is from RNAcentral.